CUGCCAAGACAAGAGAUGGGCAGAAGAAGGGAUGAGGUCUCAUGAUCUGCAAGCUUUUAUCUUUUCCCUCCGGCUGUUAAAUGGUAACAGUGGAGCAAAGUAUCGUGGGGACUGUAGUAGUCCUUCUCUUCUGAGAACCAGGUACAUACACUACAUGAUGUUAUGACGGGGAAUACCAAUAACCGAAAAUCAUAAAACCAUGACAGAUGUAAAAUUCUAGAGUACUGAAGUUAUUUUUUCCUCUACUUUAAGUAUGCUGAGAAUGCCAAUGGCCAUUCAGUCCUGAUGAAAGAUGGGUUUAGAUUAUGAUGCAUACGGUCAGCCUUCAAAUAUUUGAUGAUAGUGUAUGAGAAUAAAAUUUCUGCAUUCAUUCUCCAAAUGUCAAAGACAGCUUCUCUUCCCUGUCUUUCUGAUCUUGCCAUUUCUCUCUCUGCAUCUUUUGUUGAUUCCACUCUACUUUUACUGAGUAAAAUAUCAGUGUAAUGCUUUUUAGUUGCUACUUUCAUUCUACCCAUUAAGUCUCAUUCAAUACAGACAGAUUGAAUCUGGUCUUUGAGCAACAGCAGAAAUGCCAGAACCCACAAUUCACUUCUCAGGCUCUGAAAUGUACACCUUUUUGUCUUCUUCCCUAACACAUCUCAUGCUCAGAAGAAGCGUUCUGGAGGCUUUUAAAUUCAACCAUACAAUUCUCCUUUACUCUGACACCUAACAAAAGACAUUACCUUACCACUAUACCAAAACCAUUAUCUAUCACAUCAAAGAAUAUAGUCUCAUGGUUUCCUUACAUUUUGAAACCAUAUAAUGCAUCUUUUCUUAUAUUUACACUUAUCCUUACAGGGACAGUCAUCUUGCUCCCCUUUUGUACUAUGCCUUACAAAAGAGGGUUCUCAUCUAAAGCGGAGUAGUUACGUGCCACAGCAGUAUAAAUGAAUGAUAAAAAAUAUUAUUAUUAUAAAACUCAUUUUAAAAUACCUCAUUAGAAAUCACAAGGUAGGACAGUCACACAAAUUUAUUUAUUUGUUUGCUUGUUUGAAAAUCAUGUUUGAAAUUGGAGUGAGUUUAUGAACUUCAAUGUAAAUGGCCAAUUAACAGAUUGCCUUCCAUUACAUUACUGCAGACCAACAGUCCAGGUACAAAUACAUCACUUUUUCCAGCAUGCAACAUAACUGCCUAAUUCUACUGCAUUAACUUCAUGUUAUGAAUAAUGUCAUGCCCAAAUACUGAUUCAUAAGACUAUAAAACAAGAGAAUGAUGUGGAACACAACUCAAUCUCUUUUAAUCCCACUGAGACAAUGUGAUUCAUACACUAGACAUUUUCUGAAUGUCUGAGAAACUACUCUACAAAAACUCCCCCAUAAAAGAUGGUUUAAAGUAUCAUACAAAUCCUUAACUAUUCAGAAGACUUGACAUGCAGAGGCACAAUAGGGUCCCAAAAAGAAGUGCUCUAAUACAAAGAUUUAAAACAAAAGUUCUAAAAUGAUCAUCUUGGUUGUACACACAACUGCUGAGGCAAUUGACUAAAAUGUGUUAUUUUGAUAAAUUAUAUAAAUCACAUGGGUAGGAUAGCUAUUUUCUAACUGCAAUGUUUUAAUUCUAUAUUUCUGUUUAAACUCUACAUUGCAUGACACAAAGCAAAAUCAACUUGGCUGUUCCUACCUUAUUCUAAUACUCCUACCCAACUCUAACUUUCAUAAAGCCUUCAGUCAUUUGCGGAACUGUCAAAUGUUCAAAGCCAACAUCUAAUCCCAGUAUAGCCUAUGAAGAGCUCAUAGCUUUGUGUAACUAGCUGUCUCAGAAAAGGCAUAGUGGAUGGAAGACUGUUGAACUGUCUGGAUCCUGUACAAAGACAUGAAAGUCAGAGGAGGGAAGGUUCCUUUCACAGUCACCUCUUCAAAUUUGUGUGCACACAGCUUCUGAGAACAGUUUGGCCUUUUCUGCAGACAAAGUUCAUGCUAAAGUUGAGUAAAACUGUACACACAUAACUGAAAGCAAACUAAUAGCAACAUUUAAAAAUAUAUAUGUAUCUGUAAUUUACAUUAUUCUUAAUACACUACGCUUUGACAUUCAUCAUCUGUGUUUGAAGUAACUCAAAAGAGCAAAUAUAGUAAGCUAUCAUCUGUAGAAAGAAUCCUGCAUCUUAGUUCCUGGUGCCAAGUUACAGUAGACUUAAGUUCCAAAGUACUAAAUCUAAAGAUUAAGCUUUACCAUAAUAUUUUGCAAGUAUCUCACCUGUUCAUGUAAAUUCAUGACAGUAUGCACAGUGACAAACAUUCUAUCAGAUUUUAUGAAUUUCAUCUACAUUACAUAAGUCAUUAAAAACUUAUUUCCAGGCCUUUGCUGUGUGAAAUUCCACUGUAAUUAUUUGGAAUUGUUUACAUUUGCCUACUAACAUGGAGAAAGUUCAAGCAAUCCAAUUUUUAAUAAUACUAUUUUCAGUAAUUCACAGGUAUAUAGACUUGAUACUACAAAUAUUUAUCCUUUAUUAUCUUAUCUGCAAACUCCUACUGACAAAUUAUACACAAGCUUAAUAUGUUUGCUCUUCGGAAGACUGGAAGCAGAAGACUGAAAAUACAUUUAUCUGCUUUUUAAUACUGUAAACAUGAGCUAGAACAACAAGCUGCUGGAUCUUCCCCAACGUGUAGGCUUUUAAAAAUGAUUUACAAUUUCAGCGGUUACUUCCUGCUUCCAUCCUGUUAAACUACAGGUACAAUGACAUAGUACUAUGGAACAGCCUUCACAACAGUGCUACAAUUUUACCAACUGAUUCCAGCAAGAUUCCACCUAGUCUCACAUUCAACAUCUGAUUUCCCCACAAAAGAUACAUGCAGGAGAGUGUGAUGCAUCACUGAAUCAAUCUGAAUUUUCCUCAACUCCUCCCUGCAAAUGACCAACUUACGAAGGUGCAGAGGUUCAUAUCUCAUUCAAAUCAUUCUGAGUCAUUUAUACUAUAAUUUGGUCAUUACAAGAAAAAACUUUCCUAAACACCAUCAGAAAAUUAUUUUGUUGAAACAAAUAACUUCAUUGUUUUUGAUUUCUGUUUAAAAAAGUAAUAAAUCCUAAGAUUUUACUUUUCAAGUUAGAUACUACAUGAAAUGAGCCAGAAACUUGAAUGGCAGGCAAAGAAAUGUGCAAGGCACCCUUUUUCACCAUGAUGAACAGCUUAAAUAAUCACAGAGAAACAUCAGGCAGAUAUAAUUGCCAGAAUGACAAAGGCAAUAACUAACAAACGCUGGAAGUAUUUGACUCACUGAAGGGCAGACUGAAAAAACAGAAUAAUGCACAUUAUUUUAAUUAUCUGUGUACAGAAAUAAAACUUUGUAGACUGGUGUCCAAAGACGACGUAGUCACAAUCAACUUCUGAUGAACACAGAAUGACAGAAUUGCAGGGGUUGGAAGGGACCAGAAGAGAUCACAGAGUUCAAACUCCUGCUGAGAGAGGUACCCUACAACAGGCUGCACAGAUGAAAGGAACAGCAAAUACCGUAUACGCUGCAGAAGAAACUGCAAAACCUCACUUUCAAGUUUCUGUGCUUGUCUUCACAAUGAUGUAAAACCUUACUUUGCAGCCUGUGCUCCCUGAUGCGUUGCUUACCAUCUCUAUGGGCUGGAUUACGGUUAUCAUUUUGCUGUACUGUAUAACACUGGUUUAUAAUACGAUAAAAUUGCUCAUCAUGAGACUGGUCUGUUAUUUGUUCUCAGCUUUGCUGUCAUCUCUGUACUUUGGGGACCAUCUCCUAAAAGCUAUUAAUUCUAACACUGUUUACUUUUUCUUCCUGGGGAGCCAAUCUAUGGGAGAGACAAGACAGCAUACUCUUCUCUGCUUCUACACCCUCCCUUUCACCAUCUCCUUCUCCUUCUCAUCCUGGCCACUUACCAUAGGUCUUGGGAAUUAUGAAUAUCUUCAGGAUGUUCAAACCAGUAUGUUCCUAUAAAUACGUCUCCUGAAUGUACUCCAGGUUUUGCUUAAGAUUAAGCAACUGUUUAAUAACACCACUCAGAAAUCCGCCCCAAGGCUGGACAGUUAUGAAUGACAGAGAGUGUGGGAUGAUGUGGACAUGCAUCUAGAACAGUAGGGACUUCCAGUGCUUUGGAACUUCACACCUGAAAACACUGCUAAAAUGUUUUAAAAAGUUAUGCCAUCACAAUGGCAAUUCCAAAGAGAUAAAAGUCACUGUAGUGUGCUUCGGGAUGGCUUAUGCCUAACAAGCAGUGCUCAACACUAUCUCAACCCCUGCAAUAGGCCUUGCGGCUGAAUGAAUGCUGAAUGAACCUCUGCUGGUAUUGGUUAUCUCUGUAUAAAAGAGGAAAUAGUAGGUGUGCAAGUCAGCUCAUUCAGUGAAGGAAGAAAAUUCUAAUAAGAAGGGGAAGAAGGAAGACAAGGACAAGGAAGGCUACUCUGAAGGAGGGUCACACAGGAACAGGAUGAGGAACUCAUCCUCACAGGAAGGGUCAGAGCUCAUCAAGAAGGCAGUAACCCAUCCAACCCAUCCUAACCCUGGGUGAGCUGUGAGACAGCUGAAAGGAUUUCAACCAGUCUCAGCAAGCGCAUUGUCACCUUGUUGCUCUGAAGAUAGGAUAACAGGGCCAGUAGCUUGGAACAAGAAGGUAGUGAAGCCAGACAGCUGGGAUCCCUUUCUAGGAAAGGAGUCAUUGAUAAAGCAGUUGAAAAAAGGACACAGGCCUUUACUCUUUACCUGUCAGAUUUGAAGGAAAGAAAGGAAAGGAAAGGAAAGGAAAGGAAAGGAAAGGAAAGGAAAGGAAAGGAAA
Molecule: long non-coding RNA, 4767 nt
Organism: Numida meleagris (helmeted guineafowl)
Lineage: Eukaryota; Metazoa; Chordata; Aves; Galliformes; Numididae
Exons: 3
Source: RefSeq, a predicted model, not a curated record